UCUUCUUCCUAUAAUUGUGAAGCAGAAUUCACCAAGCGUUGGAUUGUUAACCCACUUAUAGGGAACGUGAGCUGGGAUUAGACCGUCGUGAGACAGGUU
RNAcentral lists this non-coding RNA (99 nucleotides) under Salmo salar (Atlantic salmon). RNAcentral describes it as "Eukaryotic large subunit ribosomal RNA". It matches the Rfam family "Eukaryotic large subunit ribosomal RNA", at positions 2887 to 2984 of the family's 3401-position model. The record is from Rfam by way of RNAcentral. Lineage: Eukaryota; Metazoa; Chordata; Actinopteri; Salmoniformes; Salmonidae.